This 468-nucleotide ribosomal RNA is filed under the name uncultured bacterium. Its description in RNAcentral is "partial 16S ribosomal RNA". It matches the Rfam family "Bacterial small subunit ribosomal RNA", at positions 28 to 507 of the family's 1533-position model. The record is from RNAcentral.
GACGAACGCUGGCGGCGUGCUUAACACAUGCCAGUCGAACGGAAAGGCCCUGCUUUUGUGGGGUGCUCGAGUGGCGAACGGGUGAGUAACACGUGAGUAACCUGCCCUUGACUUUGGGAUAACUUCAGGAAACUGGGGCUAAUACCGGAUAGGAGCUCCUGCUGCAUGGUGGGGGUUGGAAAGUUUCGGCGGUUGGGGAUGGACUCGCGGCUUAUCAGCUUGUUGGUGGGGUAGUGGCUUACCAAGGCUUUGACGGGUAGCCGGCCUGAUAGGGUGACCGGCCACAUUGGGACUGAGAUACGGCCCAGACUCCUACGGGAGGCAGCAGUGGGGAAUAUUGCACAAUGGGCGGAAGCCUGAUGCAGCAACGCCGCGUGCGGGAUGACGGCCUUCGGGUUGUAAACCGCUUUCGCCUGUGACGAAGCGUGAGUGACGGUAAUGGGUAAAGAAGCACCGGCUAACUACGUG